GCAUUAAUGGGGUAGUGGUAACCUGGGUCGUUGCCAUUCGAGUUAAUCUCGAUCCGCCGGGGGUUCGAUUCCCUCUUAAUGCA
This 83-nucleotide transfer RNA is filed under the name Asterophora parasitica. It matches the Rfam family "tRNA". From Rfam's summary of the family: Transfer RNA (tRNA) molecules are approximately 80 nucleotides in length. Their secondary structure includes four short double-helical elements and three loops (D, anti-codon, and T loops). The record is from Rfam by way of RNAcentral. Lineage: Eukaryota; Fungi; Basidiomycota; Agaricomycetes; Agaricales; Lyophyllaceae.